Molecule: ribosomal RNA, 1353 nt
Filed under: Chitinilyticum litopenaei DSM 21440
Lineage: Bacteria; Pseudomonadati; Pseudomonadota; Betaproteobacteria; Neisseriales; Chitinibacteraceae
Description: bacterial LSU rRNA
Rfam family: Bacterial large subunit ribosomal RNA
Source: RNAcentral
CUGAAGUGAUUGAUCCCAUGCUUCCAGGAAAAGCCACUAAGCUUCAGCUGAUAUUGAACCGUACCGCAAACCGACACAGGUGGGCAGGUUGAGAAUACUAAGGCGCUUGAGAGAACUCGGGAGAAGGAACUCGGCAAAUUGACACCGUAACUUCGGGAGAAGGUGUGCCCCGGUAGCGUGAAGGCCCUGCGGCUGGAGCGUGAUGGGGUUGCAGUGAACUGGUGGCUGCGACUGUUUAUCAAAAACACAGCACUCUGCUAACACGAAAGUGGACGUAUAGGGUGUGACGCCUGCCCGGUGCUGGAAGAUUAAAUGAUGGGGUGCAAGCUCUUGAUUGAAGUCCCAGUAAACGGCGGCCGUAACUAUAACGGUCCUAAGGUAGCGAAAUUCCUUGUCGGGUAAGUUCCGACCCGCACGAAUGGCGUAACGAUGGCCACACUGUCUCCUCCCGAGACUCAGCGAAGUUGAAGUGUUUGUGAAGAUGCAAUCUCCCCGCUGCUAGACGGAAAGACCCCGUGAACCUUUACUGUAGCUUUGCAUUGGACUUUGAACAGACUUGUGUAGGAUAGGUGGGAGGCUAAGAAGUGGCGACGCUAGUUGUCAUGGAGCCGUCCUUGAAAUACCACCCUGGUGUGUUUGAGGUUCUAACCUGGGCCCAUUAGCUGGGUCGGGGACCGUGCAUGGUAGGCAGUUUGACUGGGGCGGUCUCCUCCCAAAGUGUAACGGAGGAGCUCGAAGGUUACCUAGGUACGGUCGGACAUCGUACUGAUAGUGUAAUGGCAAAAGGUAGCUUAACUGCGAGACCGACAAGUCGAGCAGGUGCGAAAGCAGGACAUAGUGAUCCGGUGGUUCUGAAUGGAAGGGCCAUCGCUCAACGGAUAAAAGGUACUCCGGGGAUAACAGGCUGAUUCCGCCCAAGAGUUCACAUCGACGGCGGAGUUUGGCACCUCGAUGUCGGCUCAUCACAUCCUGGGGCUGUAGCCGGUCCCAAGGGUAUGGCUGUUCGCCAUUUAAAGUGGUACGUGAGCUGGGUUCAAAACGUCGUGAGACAGUUUGGUCCCUAUCUGCAGUGGGCGUUGGAAGUUUGAGGGGGGCUGCUCCUAGUACGAGAGGACCGGAGUGGACUGACCUCUGGUGUACCGGUUGUCACGCCAGUGGCAUUGCCGGGUAGCUAAGUCGGGAAUAGAUAAGCGCUGAAAGCAUCUAAGUGCGAAACUAGCCUCAAGAUGAGACUUCCCUGGGCCUUUAAGGCCCCUAAAGGAUCGUUCGAGACCAGGACGUUGAUAGGUCGGGUGUGGAAGCGCAGUAAUGCGUUAAGCUAACCGAUACUAAUAGCCCGUGCGGCUUGAUCCU